AGUGGCGAACGGGUGAGUAACACGUGGGUGAUCUGCCCUGCACUUCGGGAUAAGCCUGGGAAACUGGGUCUAAUACCGGAUAGGAGCCAUUUUUAGUGUGAUGGUUGGAAAGUUUUUUCGGUGUAGGAUGAGCUCGCGGCCUAUCAGCUUGUUGGUGGGGUAAUGGCCUACCAAGGCGGCGACGGGUAGCCGGCCUGAGAGGGUGGACGGCCACAUUGGGACUGAGAUACGGCCCAGACUCCUACGGGAGGCAGCAGUGGGGAAUAUUGCACAAUGGGCGCAAGCCUGAUGCAGCGACGCCGCGUGGGGGAUGACGGCCUUCGGGUUGUAAACUCCUUUCGCUAGGGACGAAGCUUUUUGUGACGGUACCUAGAUAAGAAGCACCGGCUAACUACGUGCCAGCAGCCGCGGUAAUACGUAGGGUGCGAGCGUUGUCCGGAAUUACUGGGCGUAAAGGGCUCGUAGGUGGUUUGUCGCGUCGUCUGUGAAAUUCCGGGGCUUAACUCCGGGCGUGCAGGCGAUACGGGCAUAACUUGUGUACUGUAGGGGUAACUGGAAUUCCUGGUGUAGCGGUGAAAUGCGCAGAUAUCAGGAGGAACACCGAUGGCGAAGGCAG
Molecule: ribosomal RNA, 616 nt
Filed under: uncultured Actinomycetales bacterium
Lineage: Bacteria; Bacillati; Actinomycetota; Actinomycetes; Actinomycetales
Description: bacterial SSU rRNA
Rfam family: Bacterial small subunit ribosomal RNA
Source: RNAcentral